GGGCUGUACCGAGUAAUGAAGCUCUAAAUGAUCAACCUCUGAUGCCUCCUCCUUCUAGGGUUCUGUCUAGUACUGAGCUCCGAAUGAUCCCCCUCCGGUGCCUUCUCUUUCUGGGGCUCUACCGACUGCUGAGACUUCUCCUAAGCAACCUUUGUGAAGGCUCCCUCUUGUUUGUUUAUUUUGACUCAUGUAUAUGUACAUAUUUGUAAUUUAUCAGAGAUAUCAAUAAAUAAGUUUUGCUUCAUUUCAACGUAUUUUGUUAAAUACACCAAAGCCUUCUUCACUAAGUUCUUUGAAUUUUUCUUUUGUUGAAGCUUUGUGAGUGGAGCAUGUAGGUUGAGGUAGUGUUCCCUUAAUUUCCCGAGUGAGGAAAACUUCUCGGUUGAAGACUUGAAAAAUCCAAGUCACUGAGUAGGGUCGGCUAUAUGAAUCUUAGAACGCCAUUGUGCUUGGUCAUGUGCGAUGUCCUCCGUUAGAUCCAUGUACUCUAAGUCUUUUCUUAGAGUCUCUUCCAAAGUUUUCCUAGGUCUUCCUCUACCCCUUCGGCUCUGAACCUCUGUCUCGUAGUCGCAUCUUCUAACCGGAGCGUCAGUAGGCCUUCUUUGCACAUGUCUAAACCACCGUAACCAAUUUUCUCUCAGUUUUCCUACAAUUUCAGCUACUCCUACUUUACCUCGGAUAUCCUCAUUCCUGGUCUUAUCUUUUCUCGUGUGCCCACACAUCUAACGAAGUAUCCUCAUCUCCGCUACACUCAUUUUGUGUACGUGUUGAUGUUUCACCACCCAACAUUCUGUGCCAUACAACAUCGCCGGCCUUAUUGUCGUCCUAUAAAAUUUUCCCUUGAGCUUCAGUGGCAUACGGCGGUCACACAACAAGUCGGAUGCACUCUUCCACUUCAUCCAUCCAGCUUGUAUUCUAUGGUUGAGAUCUUCAUCUAAUUCUCCGUUCUUUUGCAAGAUAGAUCCUAGGUAGUGAAAACGGUCGCUCUUUGGUAUUUCCUGAUCUCCUAUCCUCACCCCUAACUCAUUUUGGCCUCCAUUUGCACUGAACUUGCACUCCAUAUAUUCUGUCUUUGAUCGGCUUAGGCGAAGACCUUUAGAUUCCAACACUUCUCUCCAAAGGUUAAGCUUUGCAUUUACCCCUUCCUGAGUUUCAUCUAUCAACACUAUAUAGUCUGCGAAAAGCAUACACCAAGGAAUAUCAUCUUGAAUAUGUUCUGUUAACUCAUCCAUUACCAACGCAAAAAGGUAAGGACUUAAAGAUGAGCCUUGAUGUAAUCCUACAGUUAUGGAGAAGCUUUCGGUUUGUCCUUCAUGAGUUCUUACGGCAGUCUUUGCUCUUCAUACAUAUCCUUUAUAGCUUGGAUAUAUGCUACUCGUACUCAUUUCUUCUCUAAAAUCCUCCAAAGAAUGUCUCUUGGGACCCUAUCAUACGCUUUUUCCAAAUCUAUAAAGACCAUGUGUAAAUCCUUUUUCCCAUCUCUAUAUCUUUCCAUCAAUCUUCGUAAGAGAUAGAUUGUCUCCAUGGUUGAGCGUCCUCGCAUGAACCCGAAUUGGUUGUCCGAAACCCGUGUCUCUUGCCUCAAUCUAUACUCAAUGACUCUUUCCCAGAGCUUCAUUGUAUGACUCAUUAGCUUAAUACCCCUAUAGUUCAUGCAAUUUUGUACGUCGCCCUAUUCUUGUAGAUAGGCACCAAAGUGCUAUUUCGCCACUCAUUUGGCAUCUUCUUCGUUUUCAAAAUCCUAUUAAAACGGUCAGUGAGCCAUGCUAUACCUGUCUCUCCCAAGACUUUCCACACUUCGAAUACGCAUACACAAAUAAAGCAAGAUAUUUCAUUUUGGUUUUGUAUGAUUGAAAUGCUAAACGUAGAGUUUAAAUAGAUGGAACUUGAAACUACGAAAUUCAUUCACAGCGAAAAAGUAUAUGCAAGUGAUUCUCUCUACAUGACUGUUGUGCUCGGCUUUAGCAUUGUUUUUCACUUCCCAACUGCUCUGCAUCAUCUGUCUUGAAUAGUUUCUUCUAAAACAAACUCUGUCGUGCAGCUUGGGAGAGCGCUUUUCAACCACCUAAAGGUAUACAAGGGGCAAGAUCAUCCCCAUGAAGCCCAGAUGCCAGUGAAGCUGCCGAUAAGGGACAAAAGAAUACAGAUACAAAAGUAGAUUUGAAGCUGAACUCUACAGUACUUACUUUGGUUGUUAGAACCCGGCUUUUUUCGUGUUUAUAUAUUUGAAUGUAGAUGUCCAUUUUCUACAUCAGUCUUGGAUGGUUGUUUGCUUCCAGUCUGGUAUUGGAAUCUGGCCGGAAGUUUUCGUAGGUUUCAUUUGCUCUUAUGUAAUUGAACAAAACUUUGCAAUCAAUGUCACAACACGUUUCAGCAGAAAAACUCUCUGCAUGACAGAUGAGUAUCGAUAUUGUCAAAAAAGUAUGGACAACAUGUUGCUGGCGGCCAAAAAUUAUCGACAUGUUCGAGAGUCAUUAGUUUGGUUAAAAACAUAUUAAGAAUGCAUUUUCUGAUUUUCUUGGUGGAAGUAUGGUUAAGUAAUUGUUCCAAAUUCAUGACAAGAAAAAGGAUCCAAGAUUACAUGCGAAGGGAAGUACCGAUCCUGCAGUGGAGUGUUUCGUUAGGGUGGUCAUGAUAGGUUGUACAAAGGCCAUGGUGUUGCUUUUAGAAGGUUUCACACAGCUAAUCAGAGCUUUUAUUUUUUUAUUUUUAAUACAAGUGAUAUUAAUUGAGGCAGAUUCAAAUUUAGAAUGUUGAAUUGUAAAAUUAAAUGUUCUCAACCACUUGAUUUACAAACUUUUUGCAUAGUUAUUUUUUUUUUUAUUUCAAUUUUUUAUUUUUUGGAAUUGGGAUAGGCAAACUGUACAAAUGUUAUGAUCAGAAUUAUUUUUUCUUUAUCAUCAUCUAAAAAUUAUUUGUAGAAACUUUUUGUUCAAGUUGGAUACCAGUUUGUCAUUUAUAUCAAUCAAAGAAAUUGACGGUUCAUCAUAAGGAUGUGCUACUUGUUACUGCAAGCGUUGAUUUGUCAAACGCAUAUAGAUUAUUAAAUUGUGCCCAAAUUGAACAAUUUUUUUUAGAGGUGAUAUUUAAAUGAUGAUAAGAGAAUGAAUUGUUCUCAUCCAUAAUUUUACAGUGAAGUGAUAUUACGUUGAAGAAUAAAAACUUUUUUCAAUGUGCUAGAACACGGAUACAUAUUUUCUAUGUCAUUAUAAUAACAAAUAACGUAUUGUCGUUGGGUCUAUAACUCACCAAGUUCCAAAUUGACGUGUGUAGCAGCCUUUGAUGCUUUCUUGUUCAAUAGUUCAUACUUUAAUGUCAACUAACGUUUCAUUUCUUUUAUGUCAAAACAAGGCACAGAUACGUCGUUACAGGACGUCCCAUACUAAAAAAAUAAAGACGUGUAAAUUUUAUAUGUUGGAAUUUUUAUUUGGGUACUUCAGAAUACUACUAGCCGUUUGACAUCUAUAUAUUUAUUAUGGCUUAAUUCUCUCUUAAAUAUUAAAGAUGAUUCCAAUCAAGAUCCAAUUCUAGCCGUUAUAGUUGGUGGCCUCAAUCAACCAUUUUUAUUGUGGUGAUUACUCUUGCAAUUUAUUAUUAUUAUUGCUCCAAAGUUUUAAUUGCCAAAUGCUUAUCUUAUGUCUUUCUUUUUUCAAUCUCUUCUUGAGACAGUCUCAUACAAGGUGCAUUAUUGCUCACCACUAUAAUUAUGGUGUAAGCUCAAUACAUCUAAUCAUCUGUCACAUGUUAUUUCACUUAACUCUAAAUAACUUUCACAUUAAAUGUUACUUUUUCAAUUUUGAAAAAUAAAUAAAUAAAUAAAUAAAUAACCAAGGUUAAGUAGGACACGUUGAGAUGAUUAGGUAUAUGGUGACUAUACACUAUAGUUUAUCAUGGUGAGCAAAAGUCCUAGAUAUAUACAUACUCUCACGUCCUAGAUAUAUACAUACUUGCUAAUCUCUAUGAAAAAGGUUGAAGAUUACAGUCAUCUCCUCUUCUUUCUUCUUCUAUCUUUUUUAUUCAUCAUUCGUGAAAGCUUUAUUAUAUUCUUCACCUCCUUCGUACCAACGUAAAAAUUGAGUUGUUCAACCAAUACAAGUAUUGCAAGUGUAUGCUUACAAAAAUCACAAUGUAUCCUAGAGAGUAGGGUGUCAUAACCUGCUACACCAAGACAUUGUCUCAUAUUAGCGAAAUCUACUCUUAAGGAAGGUGAGUUUCCAUGCCUUAACCUAAAAUCUUGUUCUGAUCAAGCAUCAACGAAGAGCGUUUCUAAUAUUUAUUAUUUUGUUAUAGGAGAAGUAGUAUCCACAUCGCUUAUAUUUCCAACAUUAUCUACAUGCCCUUAUUUCAAUAUCAUAUGACACCAUCUUUUUUAUGGUAUUCAAUAAUUAAUGUCUCAAAGAAUAAAAUUGUAGAGAAUCUCAUUCCGAGUAUCUGGGACUCCACAAAGACACCAAUGAGGCAAUGACUACAGUCCAUUCCGGUGCGGCCUCCCAACCCAUAAAUUGAAGGAUGUCCAUCUUUACGCAGGAGUGAGAGGUUUGUUAUAUCCAGCAAUGUCACUGGCUUUUUUAUUGUGCUUAACACAUUCUUCAGCACACUCAGAGCUGGUGGCAAACCUCCUGGAUAGGUCGACCCAAGCAAAGGCACCUUUUGCCCUACACAACUUCUUGCCCUUGGUUCUUGCCUUUCACUGCCACUACAAUCAAAAUUAAGAGACUACUAAUUUGAUUGAUGUCACUGGAAUAAACCUCAUAACAGUUAUCCACAACAAAUGAUUCAAAAAUUAUAAUGAUUUUCAUGUGUAUUUGGACGAUUAUUAGUUUAUGUACUCUAUGUUAAAUUUUACUUUUUUAUAUAUUGACGAUUGACAACCAAUGACGACGACAUCUAAUAAAAAAAAGUUAAAGCUAAUACUAAAAAGUUGAAUUUUUUUUUGAGUACUUUGAUAUUUUUACAUUAGGAGGAGGGGGAGUUCUGCUAAGCCACAUAAUGGGCAACCUAAUUUGGUAUCGAAUUCACCAUCCACGAGAUUCGAACUUAAGACCUCUCACUUAUAAGCAAAGAGGAAUACUACCAGACCGUAAUACUGAGUGGCCUAAAAAGUUGAAUUUUAAUUAAUAUAGUUAUUAUUGACACUUUAAAAAGUUUUUAAUUACACUUUUUUUUUUACGAGACAAGCUGGUGAUAAAGCCACGACAGUUCGCUCUCCCAAAAGUUGAAAGACUCACAUAGGCAUUUAAGUCGAAAAUCAAACUCAGGAUGAGUCAUGUGGAACAAGGGUUUGAAAUUCGCUCCAAUCACUGGGCAACUCCUCUUUAAUAGGAAUAUAAUAGAUAAAUUGCAUUAAGAAGAGUCUUGCGAGUGUAAAAUAAAUUUUUUAAAAUGCUAAUAACAAUUUUGUUUUGGUUGUUAUCAUAAAUUGGUUAUAUUAGAUAAGAAAGUUACUUGAGAAAUUCUUCCCUGGAAGAACCCUAGAUUUUGGUGGAUCAAUGUUUACCCAUAACCAGCCCCAAGUACUCAGUGCUUUCUAAAAAGCAAACAUGAGGUCAAUGUCUUUGCUUAUCUGACCACCUACUUCAACACAAACUCAUUAUCUCAUAUUUUUACACAAUAUUUUAUAAUAUUAAUACAAAAAUUAACGUUAAAUUGUGUUGCGAUAAAAAAUUUAUAUAAAAUCUCACUUUAAAAAAAUUCUCUUCACAUUUAUAAUAUAUAUAGGGUUACGGUUGAGAAGGUCCUCUACAAUUAAACCAAUGCCACGUUUUGAAGACGAGCAUGUCAACGUCCCUUUGUAACUUGCCUCCCCCAAUCAAAUCAAGCUUCAAGACCCUCCCGAGUCCCAAUCUUCACUCUUCCGCAAUAUCUACUAGAGGAGGAUUUAAGAGAAGGCAUUCUCAAUUUUCCUAAAAAUAGGGAUUAAUUGUGGGACUUACACCAUGUCGAAUUUUAACAAUUUAAACUAUUUAUUUUCAAGUUACACCUUAUCGAUCAUUCUUGCAAAUUACUAGCCAAAUUGGAAACAUUUGAGACAUCCAAUUGAGUUUAAAAAAAAUUAACGAAGAUUUUUUUAUAUGAAUACAUUGAAAUUUCAUUGUGAUAGUUAAAUAUAUAAAUAAUUUCAUAUUGAAUUGAAUUUAUACAAAAAUGAUUUAUAAAUCGAUACAUAUAAAUUAGACAAUUCAGAUUGUUGAAUUUUGAUAUAAAACAGAUCCCACAACAAAUAUUCUUGUUUAAUUAAAUACAAAUAUCUUCCCUUAAAAUGCUUAAUCUCCUAGAUAUACAUUGCAGUCUGGCGUCACUUUGACUUCAUGCUUCUUGUUUGGUAGAACCGGAACAAAAAAUGUCAAAUAUUGUCCGAGCAGGAUAUUAAAAGGUCAAAUUUGUUUGAGGUGCGAUUGGACAUGGACCGUCGCAUCCAUGAAAGGCUGCCACAACCGACUUUUUCCAUGCAGCCAAACACAAUAUUCCUUGGGAAAACCAUUGGGAGGAAGCCUGGAGUCGCUUUAUAUAUUCAGAGGGGCCCCUCUCCCCUGCCACAAUUUGUUCAUGCGAUUCUUUUCUAGUAAGAGGAUUUGUUCAUGUUUAAAAAAAUAUUAUCCUUUUCUUAAAAUUAAUUAAUUUGGAAUGUUGGAUUUCAAAUGUUAACUCAUGUGUGAUGUGUCUAAAAUAAACAGAAGAAUGACAAAUUAAUUAAUUUUUAUAUAUUUGAUAGAGUUAUAUAUAAAGCCAUAAAAAUAAAAAAAUUUAAAUUCUGAGAACGCCCAAAUUAAGAAUAAUAUGACAGAACUCUUUGUUUUUCAAUUUUUUAUUCAUGAAAAAAAAACCUACUUUCCACUUAAUGAUACAACAAUUUAAUGACUGGGAAGGGUUAUAUAUGGGAAUGGAUGCUAAAACUGGAAAAGGGAAAUGAUACAAGUCAAGAGUAAACUAGAUUAGUGUAUUUUUUUUAAAUAGAUAUAUACUUUCUGCAUUGAAUACACAUUAUGUUCCCACCAUUUUUAAUUAUACACAUAAAGCUUACAUUUCUAAACAAAUUGUUAAAGAAAUAAAAUAAAAUAAACAAGUGUUCACUAUUUUAAAGAAUUUGCUGAAUAAUACACAUACGUAUUUUUCACAUACUAUAUGCUUUUUCCGUCUUGAUCUAAUUAUAUACUUUUCAACUUUAUCCAAAUUAUAGAGUAAGGUUAUGCCUACUCAGCUACUAAUUAGUAAAUAUUCAUGAUAAAUACAAGUAUACAACUAUAAGGUGGUUGGGAAAAUAAAUAGAGUCAAAUAGGUAGUCAUAGUACCACUCUUUGAAUAUGAAAGACCCAUUUUGAUAAUUUGCAUUUUUACCUUCUUGCCACAAUUUUAUAUUUUGGAAGACUGGAGUCUGGAGAUGAUUGGAAUUGACAACACUCAUUCCUCAAUUUGAGAAAAAAGGCACAUCAAAACCUUAAAGAAUUAUUUAAUUCUCAUGAAAAUAAUUAGAGAUUGCAUUCUUGUGCAAUGAGUGGCAUGUCAAGUGGGAAAUCUACGCAAAACGAGGGGCUCAUAUAUGAGCUAAAACUGUGCAAUGGAAAAAGUCAUCCACUGUUGUCCCAUAAAUUACAACUCUUUUGUCGAUGAUAAACUUCUAUGUUUAUACAACAACAUAAUGGUACACUAAACGUUAUGAUAUUAAAUAUGGGGACGAUAAUGUUGAUAUAAUAUGUUUUAAGGUAAUAUCCAUCUAUUUGACCAAAACAAAAAGGGUUAUAUUUAUUUAUUUAUAUUAUGACACUCAAUGAGAAGCUACUCACAAAGGCUACCAUAAAAUUUUUGGCUCCACCCUUGAUGGCACAUAGUCGUUAAAUGCUUUGUAUUUUGGAUAUAUUGAAAAAUUCUUCUUUGUCGAUAGCCAGUUGGUGAGUAACCAGUUCAUCAGCUCGCUUUCGUCUCCAAGUGAUUAGUCAAAUGAUGUUACUAACACAGUUUUACAACUAGCUAGGUUUAGGUUUAAGAGUUAUACAUGAAAAUGAGAUGCCAAAACUGGAAAUGGAAAUUAUACAAGCCAAGUACGUUGAUAGUAGUAAUGGUUCACGUACCUACACACACAAUGCUGCUGCUGCUAAUGACUGACUACAGAGAAAAGGAUUCUCGCGAGAUAUUCUUUGUGGAGAUCCGAGAGAUUUUGCAAUCAUGUUCGUUCAUCAUAUAUCGUGCGAUCAUUUUUUGUUAGGUACUAUUUAUAUUCAAUUUUAAAUUUUAAAUUUUAAAUGAUUUCUAACCGCACAAUAUAUAAUGAACGAACAUGAUUACAAGAUCAUCCGGAUCCCCACAAAAAGGAUCCGUGUAGGAUCUUGUUCCUGAUUACACCUCAUCACAAGCUACCACGUGCUAGCCAGUCAACUAGAUUAGUGCAUUAAUUUAUCAUCAAUCGAAGUAAUUAGGCAUCUACGGUGUUGAUAAAAUCAUUCAUGGCAUGGUGAAGAUAUUAUAUGAAGAAGAAGAAUGCUGCUUUUAGUCGUAUCACUUGAACUAUUAAGACCAUGUUAGUAAAUUGCUUUAUUAUAACUGGCCAUACUUGUCCAUUGCAAAAUAUUCAUAACAUGCUGACUAAAUCUGUGGUUAAUGGUCAUUUUUUAUAAUGGACAAUUAAUGUUCGUUGUAAAAUUGAUGCGGUAAAUAAGUUGUAUUCUUAUAAUGUUUUAUCAUCAAUUAACGUGUGAUAUACACAUAAUUAAAAAAACGGACCAUAGUCAACUACAAUCAAAAUUAAGAGACUACUAAUUUGAUUGAUGUCACUGGAAUAAACCUCAUAACAGUUCUCCACAAUAAAUGAUUCAAAAUUUUUAAUGACAACGGUUUUCACAUGUAUUUGGACGACUAUUAGUAGUUUAUGUACUCUAUGUUAAAUUUUAUUUAUUUUUAUAUAUUCACGAUUGACAACAAAUGACCACGACAUCUAAUAAAAAAAAGUUUAAUACUAAAUAGUUGACUUUUUUUUUUUGAGUACAUCGAUAUUUUUACACUAGGAGGAGGGGGAGUUCAGUUAAGUCACACAAUGAGCAACCUAAUUUAGUAUCGAAUUCGCCAUAUACGAAAUUCGAACUUAAAAUCUCGUACUUCUAAACGAAGAAGAAUACUACCAGAUCGUAGGGGAGCAUUUUUGCUCACCACCAUAAAUUAUGGUGUAUGCUCACUUUUACACUAGGAGGAGGGAGAGUUCAGUUAAGUCACACAAUGAGCAACCUAAUUUAGUAUCGAAUUCGCCAUAUACGAAAUUCGAACUUAAAAUCUCGUACUUCUAAACGAAGAAGAAUACUACCAGAUCGUAGGGGAGCAUUUUUGCUCACCACCAUAAAUUAUGGUGUAUGCUCACCAUACACCUAAUCAAUUGACACAUGUCAAUUCACUUAAUCUUGGUUUUUUUUUAAAAUUGAAAAACUAACAUUUAAUGUGAAAGUUAACUAGAGUUAAGUGAAAUGACACGUGUCAAUUGAUUAGGUGUAUGGUGAGCAUACACCAUAGCUUAUGGUGGUGAGCAAAAAUGCUCGCCAGACCGUAGUACUGAGUGGCCUAAAAGUUGAAUUUUAAUUAAUAUAGUUUCUAUUGACACUUUAAAAAGUUUCUAAGUACACUUUUUUUUUACAGGACAAGCUGGUGAUGAAGUCACGACAGUUCACUCUCCUGAAAGUCGAAAGACUCACAUAGGCAUUUCAGUUGGAAAUCAAACUCAUGAUGAGUCAUGUGGAAUAAGGGUUUGGAAUUAGCUCCAAUCAUUGGGCAACUCCUCUUUAAUAGGAAUAUAAUAGAUAAAUUGCAUUACGAAGAGUCUUGCGAAUGUAAAAUAAAUUUCUUAGAGUGCUAAUAACAAUUUUGUUUUGAUUAUUAUCAUACAUUGGUUAUAUUAGAUAAGAAAGUUACUUGUAAUGAGAAGGAGAAAUUCUUCCAUGGAAGAACCCUAGAUUUUGGUGGAUCAAUGUUACCCAUAACCAGCCCUAAGUAAUGAGUGCCAUCUACAAAGCAAACACGCGGUCAAUGUCUUUGCUUAUCUGGCCUCCUACUUCAACACAAACUCAUUAUCUCAUAUUUUUAUAUAAUAUUUUAUAGUAUUAAUACAAAAAUUUAAGCUAAAUUGUGACGCGACAAAAAAAUUAUAAAAAAUCUCACUUUAAAGGAAUCCUCCUCACAUUUCUAGUAGUUAUAGGCUUACGGUUGAGAAGGUCCUCUACGAUUCGGCCGGAUCUUUUUUCUGGGAAUUCUAGAUAUCAUGUGAUUGUGACCAUUUAUCGUACAUCGUGUGGUUAUAAAUCAUUUUAAAUUUUAAAAUUUAAAUUAAAUAUAAAUAGUACCUAACAAAAAUUGACCGCAUGAUAUACGAUAAACGAUCACGAUCGUAUGAUCCCUAGGAUCCCCAUGAAAAGAAUCCAACGAGGAACAUUUUCCUUACAAUUCUACCAAAGUCACGUAUUGAAGAUGAGCAUAUCAACGUCCUUCUGUAACUUGCCUCCCCCAAUCAAAUCAAGCUUCAAGAUCCUCCCGAGUCCCAAUCUGUUCACUCUUCCACAAAAGGAUUUAAGAGAAGGCGUUCUCAAUUUUCAUAAAAAUAAGGAUUAUUCAUGGGAUUUACACUAUACAACAACAACAACAACAAAGCCUUUUCCCACUAAGUGGGGUCGGCUAUAUGAAUCCUAGAACGCCAUUGCGCUCGGUUUUGUGUCAUGUUCUCCGUUAGAUCCAAGUACUCUAAGUCUUUUCUUAGAGUCUCUUCCAAAGUUGUCCUAGGUCUUCCUCUACCCCUUCGGCCCUGAACCUCUGUCCCGUAGUCACAUCUUCGAACCGGAGCGUCAGUCGGCCUUCUUUGCACAUGUCCAAAAUCACCGGAGCCGAUUUUCUCUCAUCUUUCCUACAAUUUCGGCUACUCCUACUUUACCUCGGAUAUCCUCAUUCCCAAUCUUAUCCUUUCUCGUGUGCCCACACAUCCCACGAAGCAUCCUCAUCUCCGCUACACCCAUUUUGUGUACGUGUUGAUGCUUCACCACCCAACAUUCUGUGCCAUACAACAUCGCUAGCCUUAUUGCCGUCCUAUAAAAUUUUCCCUUGAGCUUCAGUGGCCUACGACGGUCACACAACACGCCGGAUGCACUCUUUUCCAUCCAGCUCGUAUUCUAUGGUUGAGAUCUCCAUCUAAUUCUCCGUUCUCUUGCAAGAUAGAUCCUAGGUAGCGAAAACGAUCGCUUUUUGUGAUCUUCGCUAGAUUGCUCCGGUCAUUAGUGUGGAUAAGUAUAUAAAUGGAUAGAGAUAGGAAAGCAAACACAAGAUGUACGUGGUUCACCCAGAUUGGCUACGUCCACGGAAUAGAAGAGUUCUCAUUAAUUGUGAAGGGUUUACACAAGUACAUAGGUUCAAGCUCUCCAUUUAGUGAGUACAAGUGAAUGAUUUAGUACAAAUGACAUUAGGAAAUAUUGUGGGAGAAUGAUCUCGUAAUCACGAAACUUCUAAGUAUCGGAGUGUGGUGUCGUCUUGACUUGCCUUAUCUGUCUCAUAGGUAGAUGUGGCAUCUUCUCUGGAAGUACUCUUCCUCCAUCCAGGGGUGGUAUCUUUAACUGGUGGAGAUGCACAAGGUAAUGUAUCAAUUUCACUUGAAGCUUACUUGUAGUUUCAGGCUUGGUCAAGCGCGAUACAAACCAUGUAGUAGGAGUCCCCCAAGUCGCCGAGCUAGGGGGUCUGCUGAAAGAGGUGACAGACAAGGUAAGCAAUCAGAGCUCCGACUGAUUGUUCACCUUCUCCCCAUCUUGCAGCAGCAUGAAGGAUAAAGAGAAGAAAAAUGAGAAGAGAUGAUAUGAGAUACUUUUGCUUUUGAAGAAGUAACUUUCCACAGGCUUAUUCUUGAACUGAGCUGGAGGGUUUUCUGGUUUCCUCCAGAGUAUAAGGCCGACUGAAGAAUUUGAGGGUCAAAACAAGUCCAUCAAAUCUAGAGUACGUUCCACCCUGCUGAUAUGGGAUACUUUUGCUUUUGACAGAGUAAUGGAAUGUAUCGGCACGUGUGCUGUUACGCUUGUCUCCACAUGCUUCCUUGUAUCCUUCGCACUUGCCCUAUCUGUUCCUCAAGCAGAUGCGGAAUCUUCCCUGGAAACAUAAGAUGUUGAAGAUGAGUACUCGAGAGCAAUGCCAGGUAAGUAAUCAGGUAAGGGGUUCCAGGCAGUCAGUUCCUGGCUGGAAGCUUGAUUCCAAGUGCUGACUGAUUGCUCUCUUUCUCCUUGUCUUGCAGGUAAAAACAAGGCCAAAGAAAAGACAGGGAAAAAGCAUGAUAUGGGAUACUCUUGCUUUUAACCCUGAUGAUAUGAGAUAUUCUUGCUCUAGUAUAGCUUGUUUGCAGAGGUAUUAUCGGGGGGAAAGAAAGCUGAAUAUUUCGAAAGGCUUCGUUGGGAGUGCCCUCUCAGAUAUGAUGAAGGGUUGAGCAUUUUUGCAGGUCUGCCUGUCCGUUGGGGAUGGAGGUCGACAUAUAUAUAGGAGUCUCCCUAACAACAAGUAGUAAUGCUAUUCCUUUACCCUGCUUGGUCAUAGCACGGUAGUGGGAGCUGCCAGUUUCACAUGUUUUAACUCUGUCAGAGCACUUUGAAAAAGUGGUCUGUGGUAUCUGGCUCUCGAGAUUCGGAGAACGAUGCCUCUUCGAUUUUUGAGAAAGCAAUCAUGCUGGGGGUCUGGACUCUCGAGAUUCGGAGAGCAGUGUCUCUUCGAUUUUUGAGGAAGUAAUCAUGUUGGGAGUCUGGCUCUCGAGAUUCGGAGGGCGGUGCCUCUUCGAUUUUGGAGCAAGCAAUCUUGUUGGGAGUGUUGUCUCGAAUGUGAGUAAAGGUUGGGCAUGUUUGCUAGUCUACCUUGCCACGAAGCACAAAGGUUGACACACAGGGACUUUCCAAUUAUCCAGCAAUGGUACUGUUCCUUUACCCUCUCUUCGAUUUUGAGAAAGUAGUCAUGUUGGGAGUCUGGCUCUCGAGAUUCGGAGGACGGUGCCUCUUCGAUUUUGGAGCAAGCAAUCUUAUUGGGAGUGUUUUCUCGAAUGUGAGUAAAGGUUGGGCAUGUUUGCUAGUCUACCUUGCCACGAAGCACAGAGGUUGACACACAGGGACUUUCCAAUUAUCCAGCAGUGGUACUGUUCCUUUACCAGUUGUGGGUAAUAAUAUGGUAGCUAGACCUUCAAAAUUUAUGUGUCUAAACUUUUGUUAGUGCUGUUUCUUUGCUAUUCUUUUACCUUUCUUGGUCAGAGCGAUGUAGUGGGAGCUGCAAGCUUCACGUGCUCAACUUUGGCAGAGAACUUUGGCAAAGUUAUUUGUGGUACCCAUGAGCUAUUGUUGCGUGUGGGAAGUGGGUGAUUGAACAGUAAGAUUCAUGUGCUUUCUACUUCACCAGAAGUCUUCGACAGAAUGCCCAUAAUUUCUGCAAAGCUGAGUGUGCGUGUGACAGGUGCUGACAAGGCUAGAAAAGUAGGUGCCUCUUCGAUUUCUGAGAUCGGCCCUCGUGGUCUCUGAGCAGCCCAGCUUUUGAGAAAGCGAGCGCCUCUUCGAUUGAUUCGGAGAACGAUGCCUCAUCGAUUUUUGAGAAAGCAAUCAUGCUGGGGGUCUGGCUCUCGAAGAUUCGGGGAGCAGUGUCUCUUCGAUUUUUGAGAAAGUAAUCAUGUUGGGAGUCUGGCUCUCGAGAUUCGGAGGGCGGUGCCUCUUCGAUUUUGGAGCAAGCAAUCUUGUUGGGAGUGUUUUUCUCGAAUGUGAGUAAAGGUUGGGCAUGUUUGCUAGUCUACCUUGCCACGAAGCACAGAGGUUGACACACAGGGACUUUCCAAUUAUCCAGCAAUGGUACUGUUCCUUUACCCCCUCUCUUCGAUUUUUAAGAAAGUAGUCAUGUUGGGAGUCUGGCUCUCGAGAUUCGGAGGACGGUGCCUCUUCGAUUUUGGAGCAAGCAAUCUUAUUGGGAGUGUUUUCUCGAAUGUGAGUAAAGGUUGGGCAUGUUUGCUAGUCUACCUUGCCACGAAGCACAGAGGUUGACACACAGGGACUUUCCAAUUAUCCAGCAGUGGUACUGUUCCUUUACCCUUGUGGGUAAUAAUAUGGUAGCUAGACCUUCAAAAUUUAUGGGUCUAAACUUUGUUAGUGCUGUUUCUUUGCUAUUCUUUUACCCUUCUUGGUCAGAGCGAUGUAGUGGGAGCUGCAAGCUUCACGUGCUCAACUUUGGCAGAGAACUUUGGCAAAGUUAUCUGUGGUACCCAUGAGCUAUUGUUGCGUGUGGGAAGUGGGUGAUUGAACAGUAAGAUUCAUGUGUUUUCUACUUCACCAGAAGUCUUUGACAGAAUGCCCAUAAUUUCCGCAAAACUGAGUGUGCGUGUGACAGGUGCUGACAAGGCUGGAAAAGGCUGGAAAAGUAGGUGCCUCUUCGAUUUCUGAGAUCGGCCCUCGUGGUCUCUGAGGAGCCCAGCUUUUGAGAAAGCGAGCGCCUCUUCGAUUUUUGAGAUCGGCCUUCGUGGUCUUUGAGCAGCCCAACUUUUGAGAAAGCAAACGCCUCUUCGAUUUCUGAGAUCAACCCUCGUGAUCUCUAAGCAGCCCAGCUUUUGAGAAAGCAAACGCCUCUUCGAUUUCUGAGCAGGCGCCUCUUCGAUUUCUGAAGCUUCGUCGAGUGCAGAUUUUUAUAGGGGCUGGCAUUAAGUUCCAAAGCACACUUGAAUCUCCACCAGUAGAAGCUUCAUUCUUGCACUUCUAAGAUCUUGAUUUGUCCGACCUCUUCUCUCUUCAACACCUUUGAAAAUGUCUGGCCCCAUCCGACCGUCGUUUUGACUUGAACCUUGUUGAAGAGGCAGCCCCGCCUUCUCCAGACAACAUAUGGCGCCCAUCCUUCGUCUCCCCUACUGGUCCUCUUACCGUUGGGGAUUCCGUGAUGAAGAAUGAUAUGACCGCUGCGGUGGUGGCCAGGAACCUUCUCACUCCCAAAGAUAACAGACUACUUUCCAAACGGUCUGAUGAGUUAGCUGUUAAGGAUUCGCUGGCUCUCAGUGUUCAGUGUGCAGGUUCUGUGUCUAAUAUGGCCCAACGCCUAUUUGCUCGAACCCGCCAAGUUGAAUCAUUGGCGGCUGAAGUGAUGAGUCUCAAACAGGAGAUUAGAGGGCUCAAGCAUGAGAAUAAACAGUUGCACCGGCUCGCACAUGACUAUGCUACAAACAUGAAGAGGAAGCUUGACCAGAUGAAGGAAACUGAUGGUCAGGUUUUACUUGAUCAUCAGAGAUUUGUGGGUUUGUUCCAAAGGCAUUUAUUGCCUUCGUCUUCUGGGGCUGUACCGCGUAAUGAAGCUCCAAAUGAUCAACCUCUGAUGCCUCCUCCUUCUAGGGUUCUGUCCAGUACUAAGGCUCCAAAUGAUCCCCCUCCGGUGCCUUCUCUUUCUGGGGCUCUACCGACUGCUGAGACUUCUCCUAAGCAACCUUUGUGAAGGCUCCCUCUUGUGUGUUUAUUUUGACUCAUGUAUAUGUACAUAUUUGUAGCUUAUCGGGGAUAUCAAUAAAUAAGCUUUCCUUCAUUUCAACGUAUUGUGUUAAAU
Molecule: long non-coding RNA, 15540 nt
Filed under: Malus domestica (apple)
Lineage: Eukaryota; Viridiplantae; Streptophyta; Magnoliopsida; Rosales; Rosaceae
Description: long non-coding RNA (MDOM_LNC003398)
Source: RNAcentral